This 496-nucleotide ribosomal RNA is filed under the name uncultured bacterium. Its description in RNAcentral is "partial 16S ribosomal RNA". It matches the Rfam family "Bacterial small subunit ribosomal RNA", at positions 29 to 507 of the family's 1533-position model. The record is from RNAcentral.
AUGAACGCUGGCGGCGUGCCUAAUACAUGCCAGUCGAGCGAACAGACGAGGAGCUUGCUCCUCUGACGUUAGCGGCGGACGGGUGAGUAACACGUGGAUAACCUACCUAUAAGACUGGGAUAACUUCGGGAAACCGGAGCUAAUACCGGAUAAUAUAUUGAACCGCAUGGUUCAAUAGUGAAAGACGGUUUUGCUGUCACUUAUAGGUGGAUCCGCGCCGCAUUAGCUAGUUGGUAAGGUAACGGCUUACCAAGGCAACGAUGCGUAGCCGACCUGAGAGGGUGAUCGGCCACACUGGAACUGAGACACGGUCCAGACUCCUACGGGAGGCAGCAGUAGGGAAUCUUCCGCAAUGGGCGAAAGCCUGACGGAGCAACGCCGCGUGAGUGAUGAAGGUCUUCGGAUCGUAAAACUCUGUUAUUAGGGAAGAACAAAUGUGUAAGUAACUAUGCACGUCUUGACGGUACCUAAUCAGAAAGCCACGGCUAACUACGUG